RNAcentral lists this ribosomal RNA (535 nucleotides) under Ephyrina benedicti. RNAcentral describes it as "partial 16S ribosomal RNA". It matches the Rfam family "Bacterial large subunit ribosomal RNA", at positions 1828 to 2625 of the family's 2925-position model. Lineage: Eukaryota; Metazoa; Arthropoda; Malacostraca; Decapoda; Oplophoridae. The record is from RNAcentral.
GUCUAUAUGUAGUUAAUAUAAAGUCUGGCCUGCCCACUGAAUGUUUAAAUGGCCGCGGUAAUUUGACCGUGCGAAGGUAGCAUAAUCAAUAGUCUUUUAAUUGGGGGCUGGAAUGAAUGGUCGUACAAGAAGUAGUCUGUCUUUUUUAUAAUAAUUGAAUUUAACUUUUAAGUGAGAAGGCUUAAAUUUCUUAGGGGGACGAUAAGACCCUAUAAAACUUUACAUGGGUUAGAUGAUUUUUAAAUUUAAGUUUAAUAAGAAUUAUUUUAAUCUUGUUACGUUGGGGCGACGAAAAUAUAAAUGUAACUGUUUAUUAAUAAAAAUAAAAUUAUUUAGUAUAAGUUGGUCCUUUAUUAUGGAUUAUAAGAAUAAGUUACUUUAGGGAUAACAGCGUAAUUUUUUCUGAGAGUUCUUAUCGAUGAAAGUAGUUGCGACCUCGAUGUUGAAUUAAAGUUUCAUCAAGGUGUAGAAGCUUUGACUGUAGGUCUGUUCGACCUUUAAAACUUUACAUGAUUUGAGUUCAAACCGGUGUGAG